Ornithorhynchus anatinus (platypus) is the source of this 138-nucleotide non-coding RNA. The record is from Rfam. Lineage: Eukaryota; Metazoa; Chordata; Mammalia; Monotremata; Ornithorhynchidae.
UCUCUCUCAGGAUUGCACCUGGAGAGUUUCCCAGACUCUACCGGUCUCGGCUAGGGGAAAGAGAGUCAAGCAGAAGCCUACCCAUUCCAUUCCUAGCUUGGGCAGUGGCUAGCAAAUGGAAGGCACGCUGCUACAAAU